Molecule: ribosomal RNA, 734 nt
Filed under: uncultured bacterium
Lineage: Bacteria
Description: bacterial SSU rRNA
Rfam family: Bacterial small subunit ribosomal RNA
Source: RNAcentral
UUCUUUAUCACCGAGUGCUUGCACUCACCGAUAAAGAGUUGAGUGGCGAACGGGUGAGUAACACGUGGGCAACCUGCCCAAAAGAGGGGGAUAACACUUGGAAACAGGUGCUAAUACCGCAUAACCAUAGUUACCGCAUGGUAACUAUGUAAAAGGUGGCUAUGCUACCGCUUUUGGAUGGGCCCGCGGCGCAUUAGCUAGUUGGUGGGGUAAAGGCUUACCAAGGCAAUGAUGCGUAGCCGAACUGAGAGGUUGAUCGGCCACAUUGGGACUGAGACACGGCCCAAACUCCUACGGGAGGCAGCAGUAGGGAAUCUUCCACAAUGGGCGAAAGCCUGAUGGAGCAACGCCGCGUGGGUGAAGAAGGUCUUCGGAUCGUAAAACCCUGUUGUUAGAGAAGAAAGUGCGUGAGAGUAACUGUUCAUGUUUCGACGGUAUCUAACCAGAAAGCCACGGCUAACUACGUGCCAGCAGCCGCGGUAAUACGUAGGUGGCAAGCGUUAUCCGGAUUUAUUGGGCGUAAAGGGAACGCAGGCGGUCUUUUAAGUCUGAUGUGAAAGCCUUCGGCUUAACCGGAGUAGUGCAUUGGAAACUGGGAGACUUGAGUGCAGAAGAGGAGAGUGGAACUCCAUGUGUAGCGGUGAAAUGCGCAGAUAUAUGGAAGAACACCAGUGGCGAAAGCGGCUCUCUGGUCUGUAACUGACGCUGAGGUUCGAAAGCGUGGGUAGCAAACA